Camelus ferus (Wild Bactrian camel) is the source of this 72-nucleotide transfer RNA. It matches the Rfam family "tRNA". From Rfam's summary of the family: Transfer RNA (tRNA) molecules are approximately 80 nucleotides in length. Their secondary structure includes four short double-helical elements and three loops (D, anti-codon, and T loops). Further hydrogen bonds mediate the characteristic L-shaped molecular structure. tRNAs have two regions of fundamental functional importance: the anti-codon, which is responsible for specific mRNA codon recognition, and the 3' end, to which the tRNAs corresponding amino acid is attached (by aminoacyl-tRNA synthetases). tRNAs cope with the degeneracy of the genetic code in two manners: having more than one tRNA (with a specific anti-codon) for a particular amino acid; and 'wobble' base-pairing, i.e. permitting non-standard base-pairing at the 3rd anti-codon position. The record is from Rfam. Lineage: Eukaryota; Metazoa; Chordata; Mammalia; Artiodactyla; Camelidae.
GAGGGUAUAGCUCAGUGGUAGGGUCUGUGCCUAGCAUGCAGGACGUCUUGGGUUCAAUCCCCAGUAUCUCCA